GUGCUAAUCUGCGUCAGCUGGGGCUGUAUUUGGAAGAAGAGGCGCUGCCUCCAGUCAAGUCUGUUUUUUUCAGGUGGGGACUGUAGGCCUUUGUGCCCUGCUGGAAAUCGUGAAAAGCAAGAGAGAAGAGUCCCAGUUAUUCUUGCUGCCUUUGAUAAGUGAAUUUAGGGCAACUACUAGUGCCAGUAGGCAUGGGGGAUCUACCGAUGAAGAAGACACAAAGUCUCCGCUCUCGUGGAGUUUACAGAGAAUAAUGAAUGAGAUUAAUUAAGAAAUGAAUGAGAUUAAUUGAAUGAAAUUGCCAGACUGAAUGAAGUGAAUGGCCUGAAUAUAAACAAUUUCCAAAUACAGAUAACACUGCAUAUCUGGUGUUUGCAAUACUCCCUUCGCACUUGAGGAAGAAGCACUAUGUCUGGGGCCAAGUGUGACCCUUUGUCUGUUGCUGGGUACCUUUCAUUUCGCACUUUCUCCUCUGCUGCUCUCCAGAGGAAGUUAUUGUCCCAAAGUUGUGUGUCAUGCCCGAAGUGUCUGGGAUCCCCGAGUGCCUGUGGUGCCCAAGAGCUAUGAAUCUGCUAUCAUCAACACAGAGGGUACCUUCUGAAUGGGCUAUGUCUACAGUGAUGCUGCAAAUGGAAGCUAACCCUAGGAUGACUGGCCUCUGACACUUGAGCCAUCCCAUCAUCUGUCAUGGGUUGACCCAUCCAUCCCCUCAAUGAGCCUGACCUUCAGGACCACUGACAGAGGAGCAGUCAAUAGAAAUUAAUUGUUAAAUACCCAGAAAAUCUGAAAUGGUAUUUAAUAUGCAGUUCAUCAAGAGCAAAAGUUCCUUAAAUCUUCAUCUAGAAAAGUUAUUUAUAAGGGAUGAAUAUGUUGUAUGAAUAUGUUGUAUGCAAAUAUUAUAUUCAAGGGCAAGACCAUGAAAACAGUUUAAGAAUCCGACAGGGAAUUAGAUAAAGACAUCGGAGUGCACUUGUCAAAAUACAGCUAUCAAGAAUGAUGAUGUUGAAAAAUAGUUUAGCAAUAUAAUUGUCUAGAACCACAGGGAGUCUGAGAUUUUACCCAACUUGUGAGUUAACAACUCUGCUAUAGCUUCAUGAAAGAAGACACAAGACUCCUGGGUCAGGAACAAAGGUCUCUAAUACUCACAGCAAUAUCAGGAGCCAGAAUUUCAGGAUCCUUUUUCCUGCCAGUUUCUCAAGUCCUAAUUACCACCGAGUUACAGGAAAGGGCCAGGUAACACUAGCACUGCCAUCAGUGGCUGUAUUACAGAACAGGAACUCCAAGCUUAGGAAACCCAAAUCUUUUAUAGUUAACAAUGAACACAUCUGCCAUUGUUCUGAAGGGAGACGCUACCCCAAUCUUCCACACCUGUUCACUAUAUAAAUAUCUGUGAAAAGAUAGACAGAAAAAUAGGUGGAGAAUGCCUCUGCUCACAAGAUGUGCAGAAACGUGAGAGGCUCAUGGAGAACUGUUUCCCUACAAUGACAAAAUGCUGACGAUAUAUUGUUAUGUAAAAUAAAGCAGGCAUUUUUCACCUCAUUUUCAUGAAAUAUAGUGUGUUUAUAUAGAUAUUUAGAAAAGUAUGAAAGGACAUUCAUCCAGAUAUCAAUAGAAGAGUUUAUUAUUUUUGCUAGUUGUAAGUUCAAACUUUUCUAGUAAAAAUAGAUUACUUGUGAAAUUAUUUUUAAUCUUUUUUUUUUUUUGAGAUGGAGUCUUGCUCUGUCGCCCAGGCUCGAGUGCAGUGGCAUGAUCUCAGCUCACUGCAACAUCCACCUCCUGGGUUCAAGCAAUUCUCCUGCCUCAGCCUCCUGAGUAGCUGGGAUUAUAGGUGCAUGCCACCAUGCCCAGCUAAUUUUUGUAUUUUUAGUAGAGACGGGAUUUCACCAUGUUGGUCAGGCUGGUCUCGAACUCCUGACCUCGUGAUCUGCCCACCUCGGCCUCCCAAAGUGCUAGAAUUACAGGUGUGAGCCACUGCACCCCUCCUAAAUGUCAAUUUAAUAACUGAGGGAGCCCUUAAAAUACCCCGCUGACUUCCACACGGGUGUGUAAAAUAGAAUCUGCUCACGUCUUAGAGGAGAUAAGUACAUGCUUAAUGUUCUUAGGAGAGACCUGCCUUUUGACAUGGAAGCUGUGGUAUUGUUGACAAGAGCAUACCUCCUUAAACCAUGCAAACCACGUUCACAUCAAAGCUGCCUACGAAUGAUUAUUUUCCAUGAUGCUAUGCUCCCUCCUGCCUGCCUCAGUGGCAAGUGUGACUCAGCAAGUGUAUCCAGGGCAUCCCUCACUCUUACUUAUUUUUGCCAAAUGCAGUGGAAAUGUAUAGACUUUUUUUCAUAUUUAUGUUGGCUGCAGAGCAUAAAUCUGAAUAGGUUCUCCAAAGUAAGCUUUUUCUGCAUGCAUUUGCUCCCAAUGAUGAUAGGUAUUAUGAAUUGCUUUAUAGUAAUCAUUAUCCUUUUCCAUAUGUUUUACGGUUAGUCUGUGCUAUAAACUUGUUUGAUUU
Molecule: long non-coding RNA, 2500 nt
Filed under: Homo sapiens (human)
Lineage: Eukaryota; Metazoa; Chordata; Mammalia; Primates; Hominidae
Description: WDR11 divergent transcript (WDR11-DT)
Source: RNAcentral